GAUGAACGCUGGCGGCGUGCUUAACACAUGCAAGUCGAACGGAAAGGCCCAAGCUUGCUUGGGUCGUAGAGUGGCGAACGGGGGAGUAAAACGUGGGUUCACUGCCCUGCACUUCGGGGUAAACCUGGGAAAAUGCGUAUAAUACAGGAGAGGACCACAUUUUUGAUGGUGUUGUGGAGAGUUUUUCGGUGUGGGAUUAGCUCGCUGGCUAUCCGCUUGUCGGUGGGGUAAUGGCCUACCAGGGGGGCGACGGGUAGACGGCCGGCGGGGGUGUACGGCCAUCCUGACACCGAGAUAAGGCCCAGACGCCGAAGGGAGGCCGAAGGGGGGAAUGGUGCACAAGGGGCGCCAGGCUGAUGCAGCGACGCCGCGUGUCGGAUAACGGCCUUCCGGUUGUAAACUCCUUUUGCGAGGAACGAAUCGUUAUGUGACGGUACCUGGAGAAUAAGCACCGGCUAACUACGUG
Molecule: ribosomal RNA, 466 nt
Filed under: uncultured bacterium
Lineage: Bacteria
Description: partial 16S ribosomal RNA
Rfam family: Bacterial small subunit ribosomal RNA
Source: RNAcentral